AGAGUUUGAUCCUGGCUCAGGAUGAACGCUGGCGGCGUGCUUAACACAUGCAAGUCGAGCGAGAAGCUCAUGAAAGAUUCUUCGGAAGAUGGAAUGAGUGGAAAGCGGCGGACGGGUGAGUAACGCGUAGGCAACCUGCCCCGUACAAAGGGAUAGCUACUGGAAACGGUAAUUAAUACCUCAUAAUACAGAGACACCGCAUGGUGAUUCUGUCAAAGAUUUAUCGGUAUGGGAUGGGCCUGCGUCUGAUUAGCUAGUUGGUGGGGUAACGGCCUACCAAGGCAGCGAUCAGUAGCCGACCUGAGAGGGUAAACGGCCACAUUGGAACUGAGACACGGUCCAAACUCCUACGGGAGGCAGCAGUGGGGAAUAUUGCACAAUGGGGGAAACCCUGAUGCAGCAACGCCGCGUGAGCGAAGAAGGCCUUUGGGUCGUAAAGCUCUGUCCUGAAGGAAGAAGGAAGUGACGGUACUUCAGGAGGAAGCCCCGGCUAACUACGUGCCAGCAGCCGCGGUAAUACGUAGGGGGCGAGCGUUAUCCGGAAUCAUUGGGCGUAAAGGGUACGUAGGCGGUUUUUUAAGCAUGGGGUGAAAGGCAAUAGCUCAACUAUUGUAAGCCUCGUGAACUGGAAGACUUGAGUGCAGGAGAGGAAAGCGGAAUUCCUAGUGUAGCGGUGAAAUGCGUAGAUAUUAGGAGGAACACCAGUGGCGAAGGCGGCUUUCUGGACUGUAACUGACGCUGAGGUACGAAAGCGUGGGGAGCAAACAGGAUUAGAUACCCUGGUAGUCCACGCCGUAAACGAUGAGCACUAGGUGUCGGGGGAGCGAUCCUUCGGUGCCGCAGUUAACGCAAUAAGUGCUCCGCCUGGGGAGUACGCACGCAAGUGUGAAACUCAAAGGAAUUGACGGGGACCCGCACAAGCAGCGGAGCAUGUGGUUUAAUUCGAAGCAACGCGAAGAACCUUACCAGGGCUUGACAUCCCUCUGACCGGACGGUAAAACGUCCCUCUCUUCGGAGCAGAGGAGACAGGUGGUGCAUGGUUGUCGUCAGCUCGUGUCGUGAGAUGUUGGGUUAAGUCCCGCAACGAGCGCAACCCUUGUCAUUAGUUGCCAGCACGUUAAGGUGGGCACUCUAAUGAGACUGCCGGGGAUAACUCGGAGGAAGGUGGGGAUGACGUCAAAUCAUCAUGCCCCUUAUGUUCUGGGCUACACACGUGCUACAAUGGCCGGUACAAAGAGAAGCGAGACCGCGAGGUGGAGCAAAUCUGAUAAAACCGGUCCCAGUUCGGAUUGUAGGCUGCAACUCGCCUACAUGAAGUUGGAGUUGCUAGUAAUCGCAGAUCAGAAUGCUGCGGUGAAUGCGUUCCCGGGUCUUGUACACACCGCCCGUCACACCAUGGAAGUUGGGGGCGCCCGAAGUUGGUUAAGAGAUAUACUACCUAAGGUGAAACCAAUGACUGGGGUGAAGUCGUAACAAGGUAACC
This 1483-nucleotide ribosomal RNA is filed under the name uncultured bacterium. RNAcentral's name for it is "bacterial SSU rRNA". It matches the Rfam family "Bacterial small subunit ribosomal RNA". The record is from RNAcentral.